Molecule: long non-coding RNA, 1046 nt
Organism: Tarenaya hassleriana
Lineage: Eukaryota; Viridiplantae; Streptophyta; Magnoliopsida; Brassicales; Cleomaceae
Exons: 10
Source: RefSeq, a predicted model, not a curated record
UUUUAAUUUUCAGGAAAAGAAAUCCGCACGCGAUCACUCUCCCGGAAAGGGCGGGAACCAAAGUCUUCUGAUCAGCUUCUCAAAUACAUUCUGCGAAGGCUUCCUGUCGAAGAUUUCCGUCAAAGCUUCUCAGAGGUUCGAAUAAAAUCUUGCUUACGCUACUAAAUGCAUUGCGCUGCUUGGAGAUCAUUGCAGAUGGAGCAAAUCAGGUCGUAGAAGAUGUUCGUCAAGCGAUCGCCAGUGGCUAUAUUAUAUAUUUGGGUUCGGGUAAAUGCAACCUCGUGAACUGCUUUUGUGGCGAGCAACCAGGCGAGAUAGUAGAACUCUAAAAUCUACAACAGUAGAGACGUUCCGAAAUGUCACCAUACUGCCGUGUCGGUUUGAUCGAUUGAAAUAGGACAAACACAUUCCCUACAGAUGUACAUGCUUCAUCAACGAACUCACUAUGUCUGGUCAAGUCAAGUUGCAAUCUGUACCUUCAAAUUCGUUUUGAUUAACAGAGCUUACCAGCAACUCUUAGCAGUUCUGCCACUGAAGCAGCUGGUUGUACAGUGGCAUUGAUUGGGAAGCUGGAGCUGCAGUACGAAUCCAUCUUUUGUGAACGAAAUCUGUAAGAGGCUGAGCAUUCAGGGUGGUAGUGGGAGAUCUAAAAGAAGUCAGACUUACAAAACUUCUGGUGCGGCUAGUCCAGUGAACCACGAGGUUGGUCAUAUUCCCAAUCAGGGUAUCUAUCUGCAAUGAGGUAGUUGAAGCAUCCGGCACAAUGUACUGCAAACAGGGUAACCUGAGAUUGACAACAACAGAAAUAGUUGAAACGGAUAUCUUUCUCAAGCCUGAAGGAAAGGAGAAGUAGGAGGAUAAGUACUACAUCCACCGUAGAAUGAAAUGUUGAACAGCAGACUCAAUGACUGAAACGGUGCUGUUGAACACACAUCAAAGGCAAACCAAGUAGACAGGUGAUGAAGGCAAAGUCAAAUGGACAGAUCCAUGCCGAGUAAAUGACUAGAACGACCAGCCACAUCUCCCACGCCCUGAAUCAACACAAG